Molecule: long non-coding RNA, 1800 nt
Organism: Gallus gallus (chicken)
Lineage: Eukaryota; Metazoa; Chordata; Aves; Galliformes; Phasianidae
Source: Ensembl
GCCUUUUACUCAGGAAUCUCAGAAAACCCUUCUGAAACAUUGAGCCAAGCAGAACCAGAGGUGAAUCUUACCCACCUAGUGGUGGUCCUGCCAGCUAAAUGGGAAACCAGUGUGUCGAGUGGAUGAACCAAGAGGCACAGAGCAGACAACAAACAAAUAUUUUUUGAGAACUGGCCUCACAAUGUUCCAAACAAGGAGAGAAUGUGGAGAUGAGCUCUACAUUUGUCAGGGGCCUUAUGCCUCUGAUUUGGAUCAACAGUGUAGCAAAAUGUUUGUUCUCCAAAGGAAGCGGAGGUCACCUCUGCCAUAUGGGUCAUAACAACCCGAAGCAGCCCUAUAGGCUUGGGGAAGAGUGGUUGGAAAGACACCUGGCAGAAAAGGACCUGGGGGUGUCAGCUGACAGCCAGCAGCGUGCCCAAGUGGUUGAGAAGACCGAUGGAAUACUGGCCUGCAUCAGAAAUGGUGUGGCCAGAGGAAUCAGUGAAGGGAUCAUCCCUUCGUAUGUGGCACUCAAAGUGUUGCCUAGGGAGGUGGUGGAAUCACCACGCAUGGAAAUAUUUAAGAGACAUGUGAAUGUGAUGCUAAGUGAAAUGGUUCAGUAAUGGAUUUGGCAGUGUCAGGUCAAUGGUUCAACUCGAUGACCUUAAGGUAAUCACUCCAACCUAAAUGAUUCUAUAAUUCUAUGAUUCUAUAUCUUAUGAUAGCCCCAUAAUGUGGAGAUGUCAAUUAUGGCCAAAGCAGCUGUGUUGGUAAACAGCUGUGUGUAAGCAAAUCAGAGCCCCUUAUUACCAUAGUAUGCCUUAUUUUGUCAGAUAAAGGUGGGAAGCUCUAUUUGUCAGAGAGUACCUUGCCUGUUUGGAUUGCUGGUAUAUCUACUCUAUGAUUCUACGCUAUCAGUGAAAAUAUUUCAGGUCCAACAGGCUGACUCUGCAACUCUGCAACCAAAGUCUUACUGACAACUAAAUAACAUGCUGGGGAAGUUUCUUUAACUCUACUAAUUCUAUUGCAAACUUAUCUGAGUCAUUUAGAGGAUGAUGCAUGUCUGAUUAUUUUUGCUAUUCUGGUGUGAGUCUGGAUACUACCUGUACUACGUGCUUCAGUAUUUGAGAAUUAGUCUUACAAAUUUCCAUUCUCAACAGCUUUUGAUAAUUCAGAAUUGUAAAUGAACUAGAUUUUUUGAAAAACUCUUUCUGAAUGAAACAAUACAAAAAUACAAUACCUCAGAAAUGAUGAAAUGCAUCCUUUUGAGGUUAUGACAUUUGUUUCCUGUAGGCAAUGAAAUUUUAGCACUUGCAGUCCUCUGAGUGUAGUUUCUAUCCAAUGCACGUACUGCAGAGAACAGAACUAUUUCAGGUUAUUAUAUGCUAUCUCUUUUGUGCUUAGGAAAACCUUUUGGAAAGAGUAACAGUGAGGUCCGGCAGUCAUACACUUAAUCAGUCUAUACCUUAAUAUCUUAUUUCCAAUAGAGGUUAAUGUCAAUUUGAUUUACAUUACAGCAGGAAAUCCUGCAGUAGAAAAUAAUGGAGUAUACUGUCAUAUGAAAACUCUCUUAUUAUCACGUAGCUUCUUAAAAGCAGCAUAUUCCCUGAAAUACGAAGUUUAUGCGUCGUGUUAGAUAUUCUGGUUUCUACUUGUGUUACCUGAUGUUCUUGUUACCCUCACAAACUUCCUGUUUCUGGAAGGAAUGACGUCCUUUGGAAAUGAGUUGACACACUGUGCAUUUACACAGCUGAAAAAUACCUGUUUCCUUUUGCCAGUUAUAAAUGUGUUAUCUUUAGAUUAAAUGAAUGUUUACUUGUU